Molecule: ribosomal RNA, 162 nt
Filed under: uncultured Nitrosomonas sp.
Lineage: Bacteria; Pseudomonadati; Pseudomonadota; Betaproteobacteria; Nitrosomonadales; Nitrosomonadaceae
Description: partial 16S ribosomal RNA
Rfam family: Bacterial small subunit ribosomal RNA
Source: RNAcentral
UUGGCUGGGCGCAGCCUGAUCAGCAUGCCGCGUGAGUGAAGAAGGCCUUCGGGUUGUAAAGCUCUUUCAGUUGAGAAGAAAAGAUUGUAACUAAUAAUUGCAAUCCAUGACGGUAUCGACAGAAGAAGCACCGGCUAACUACGUGCCAGCAGCCGCGGUAAU